This is an RNA transcript of Xyrauchen texanus (razorback sucker), 2532 nucleotides long. It is a transcript of the gene named chemokine-like protein TAFA-1, with no coding region annotated. The transcript has 6 exons. Lineage: Eukaryota; Metazoa; Chordata; Actinopteri; Cypriniformes; Catostomidae. The record is from RefSeq and is a predicted model, not a curated record.
UCGUACUGAGUGGCUUCUCAAUGGGAGAAAAGAGCUGAGAGGAGAGAGUGGUGGAGAGAGCAAGCGCAUGAGAGAGAGAGCGUGUGAAGGAGCAGUGCCGUCGCAUGUGCAGGACCCUCUGUGGGCUAAAAGUGUGGAGGGAAAUUAGCUUGUUAUCCCCCAAAGAAGCUUCACCUUCACAGAGAAGAUUUAAAGGUGACAUGACAAGCCUCUUGUCCCUCAAAUCCCUACUAGCAUAGCUGUAAGGGGAGAAUUUGGUGUUGGGUGCUUGCCUCUGUUUACAGAAUUGCUGGAGGACUUAAAACAAGAGGGGAUCGAGGGCAGGAGAACGGACAAGAGUCACCUCAUCCCCCUCUGACCCACAGAUCCAAACAGCAACUUUGCUGGGAAGCUCUUUGUCGAGAGCAUGGAUGUAUAAAUGACAAUGUGCUGAGGAUUUCUUUUGCAGGAACACUGACAGCACAUUCCUUUGACAUUCUCCUGACAACAUAUCACAGCCAGUGCUCCUGCCAUGUCCUGGUUCAUGUCCCUGUGGAUAAGUGUUAGCUGCCUACUGCUGUGCCACGCCACUUUGUAUGAGACCAUCCAGCAGCAUCAUGUGACCCGCCCGGGCCGCAACGCCAUACAGAUACUGGAGGGAGGAAAGUGUGAGGUCAUCGCUGCACACAGAUGCUGCAAUAAGAACCGCAUUGAGGAGCGCUCCCAAACAGUCAAGUGCUCAUGUUUACCAGGAAAAGUGGCUGGCACAACACGAAACAAACCCUCCUGUGUAGAUGCCUCAAUUGUGAUUGGGAAGUGGUGGUGUGAGAUGGAGCCGUGUCUGGAGGGAGAGGAAUGUAAGACACUACCAGACAACUCCGGCUGGAUGUGUUCCUCUGGGAACAAGAUCAAGACCACGAGGAACACCCAACCAUAUUCAACUAUUUAGCUCUGAGGGCCACACAGGCUGGCUCACCAGAAGCUCAGCGGCGUCCUUCUUCUCAUUAAGAUUCAUCCACGGACCUAACAAAGAGCUACUUCAAAUGUGGAUUCUUUGUCAGACUGGACUAAACCAUUGCAUCAAAGGGGUGUUUUAGUGGAUUAGCGGUGAACGAACAUAAAAGAGGACAUUCUUGGAGAUAAAGACAUGAUUUGCUCAUUUGGUGCCAAGGAAUGUAAUAAAUAGAAAUAUAUCAGACUAAUCUGUGUUUUUGAUCAGUAAACCCAUCAUCGUGGACGCCUGCUGCUGUUCAAAUCUUUUCAUUUUCUGCUUUUCUCUUGACCACCUUCCUCUGAUUCUGAACAGCUUAGUGGAGCCAUUUACGGGAUUUAAAAUUAUAUUUGAAGACUUUACCAUACCCUAGGUAAAUUGGACAAUCCCGACAUAAGCUGUGAACGACUGUACGGAGGAUCACGGAGGAUAAGCACUGGUCUUAGAAAAUGAAGUGGAAAUCAAUAAGAGAUUUGCCGCACACAAUUUUUUUCAUCCCGCUAUCACUCUGUCGUUUCGCCGUCCACGCUGGCUUUGGUAAUAAGACAGGUAGCUUGUGAAGACCUGUUAUUUCCUCCUACUUCUGAUUUACCACUCAACAUUGGAGACACUGUCUGUUUGGAAUUGCCCCAUGAUCAACGGUCACCUCACUGUCUACACCUACUUUGGCCAGAUGUCUUUUUAUUGGUUGGCAUGCUCAAUGUAUUUUGUGGGAGCUUUGUAUUGAAAGUAACUGUAUAUAUUUCUGUAUAUAUACAUACAGUGUAGACACAUAAUAAUAGACCUAAUAUGAAGACCUAACAUGCCCAUAAAGAUGUUCAAUGGGUUUGAAUUGAGAUAAAUGACUCUGUUCAUGGUUUUGGCUCUUUAAGAAGUACAAAUGACGCCCAGUUUUCUGUGCAAAUACAUGUUCACUUGGUGUAAUGAACAUUCUAGAGUUUUAGCUUGAAAUGAGAUUUUAAUAUUGUAACAUUGGAUCCUUGAUUAAAAAACAUAGACAUCUGUAUGAUGGAGAUUGGCCCUACAAAAACCUACAGUCACGUAUUGGCAUUGACAUUGAUAGGCAGUUCUAUCUCAGAGUCAGUCCAUUCUCCAGUGUGUUCCAUGCUGUACUGAGAAUAGGUAGACUUCAUCAUGCUUGAGUAGGUUUCAUAAAUACAACACAAUAGAAGACAUUCGGCUUGUGAAAGGUAAACCAUAACAAUCAAGCAUUGGUUCUGUGUCAUUGAUCAGAGACCUGAUCUCAUUUUAAAAUAAAUGAAGCCCUUACCAUAAUUCUCCUCAAUAUUAUAGUUUGGCAGGGUAAUAUCUAUAUAAUACUUGGCACAAUUACAAUUAUCUAAUGUGACUCCAUGUGAAUUUUGAGGGGAAAUUACCUUGCAAAUGUAUUAUUCACUGUCAUUCUCAUUAAAAAAGUUUUGCUUAAUUGUGUAAUGUGUUUUCCAAGGUGAAGAAGAUCAGGGAAGUUGAUGGGCUUCAUUUGUCUCUUCUGGCAUCAGUACAGACAUGCAUCUACAGUAGCCCUGGUAGAUAAACAUGCAGCAUUAUCAGAAGCAAAUCAA